GGUAACCAUGACAAUGCCCUCUUUUCCCUUGCCCUGCGGUUUCCUCUAAAUCUUCUUUCACUUUCUUCUUCUGCUUUUCCCCCUCCUCUUCUUGCCUCCCCUGUCCCACACCCACCUCCUUCCCAUAGCUCAGGUCACGGAUGAAGAGAGCCAGGAGCAAGAGAGAAGCAAAGAGGAUUGGAAGUGCAUGGGUGGAGGCCUGCCCUGUGCCUCUGAAGUACUCCCCUCUGUCAUGUGACCCCAAACCUGCAGCCAUCCUUGGGGUCAGAGGCAAAGAAUAGGCUCUCACUAGAGCGCCGCGGGCCUGCUGAUAAGUUUAUCAGUUAUUGGUGAGUAAUCUUGGUAUCAUGGGGCAGUCAGAGUCUUGCCUAAAUGCCUCACCAGCCAUGAUGCAGAGAAUUGCCCAGGCUGCAGUAAUGUAGAGAUGGAAAUUCAGCGCCUAUAAGUACCUGUGGAAACAGAAUACGUUCCCAGGAGGAGUGAAAGUGCAUGUUCUGGCUGCGGAGGGGCUAGGACAUCCCUCAGGAAACCGUUCCAUAAAGAUGGAACUCUGCUCAUCUUAGAAGCAGGUGAAAAUAGUCAGACAAAAAACUGGCCUGGCGGUGGUGGCACACGCCUUUAAUCCUGGCACUUGGGAGGCAGACAGACAGAUUUCUGAGUUAUACAAAUGACAUAAGAGAAAGAGAGAUCAAAACAAAAAGAAAAUGUAUCUCAGAGUUACUCCUAUGAUGUCCUUGAGGAUGGGAGACAUUCAGUUACAACACUCCCUUGUGCUGUGUCUGUUUGUCACUCACCGAAUUCUUUGCCCACUUGGUCAGAACUUUUAUCACCCCAAGGAACAAGGGGUCCCCAAAGCAACCCAGUCUGUGGCAAUAUAUGAACUACCCACCACGCAUGGCUCUUAAUUCUCAUCUCUAAGUAUACAAGGCAGUGUAGUCACUUAGUCCUUACAAUAAGCUUCUGAGAUAGGAGGGUGGGCUGUCAAUUAGAUAGAGCAUUUGCUCAGUAUAUGGAUGGCACAAGGUUCCUCUCCCAGCAACACACACACACACACACACACACACACACACACACACACACACACGCGCGCGCGCGCAGUAGCCAAACCAAAACAUAAAAGAAUUUUUGUUUCCCUAAUCUCAAAAAAAAAUCUGCUCACUAGGAUGUAGUCCCCAAGCCAGGACUCCAUGGAAGUCACUGGGUUCUCAGUUCCUAUCUCUCCCUGCCUGUGCCUGUCCACCUGUGAGACUCAGGAGGCUUGCAGGUCUGGAGAAGGAAAGGGAGUUGACUCAGAACUAACCCUUAGUGCUGAUGCCCCGGAGAUCUGUGAUUUUCAUAAGCAUCCUUGGAAACAUGUAGGGUUGGCUGGGUCUCCGUCGCCGGGCAUAAAGCCUCAGGGCUUCCAGCAGGGGCUCCUGCAGCUUGUCCACCUUCUCAGGCUCUUCCAGGUCCAUUCGGUCUAUACAAGAACAAUGGAUGAGGCAGGGUAGGACACAGUGACAGGCAGCCAACUCCUGACAGACCUUACUCUGGGGGCCUCAAAGCCAGACUGUCUCAUCUACCCUUUACUCCUGUCACUGAGCCCUCCAGGUUAUUACCCCUCUGCAAGGACAUAGCUCUAGGAUAUCACUCCUACUAAAUUCCUAUCUCAGCACUUGUAGGCAGGGCU
This is a long non-coding RNA of Mastomys coucha (southern multimammate mouse), 1669 nucleotides long. RefSeq lists it as uncharacterized. The transcript has 3 exons. The record is from RefSeq and is a predicted model, not a curated record. Lineage: Eukaryota; Metazoa; Chordata; Mammalia; Rodentia; Muridae.